RNAcentral lists this ribosomal RNA (394 nucleotides) under Oithona sp. RNAcentral describes it as "partial small subunit ribosomal RNA". It matches the Rfam family "Eukaryotic small subunit ribosomal RNA", at positions 582 to 975 of the family's 1831-position model. The record is from RNAcentral. Lineage: Eukaryota; Metazoa; Arthropoda; Copepoda; Cyclopoida; Oithonidae.
AUUCCAGCUCCAAUAGCGUAUAUUAAAGUUGUUGCGGUUAAAAAGCUCGUAGUUGGAUCUCGGCGGGCAGGGGGUGGUUCGCUCUUCAGCGCUACUGCCCCGCUUUGCCCGUGUGAUUGGCGGAGGUUUCGGGGUGCUCUUCGUUGAGUGACUCGGAGCGCCGUCAGGUUUACUUUGAAAAAAUUAGAGUGCUCAAAGCAGGCUUUUCACGCUUGAAUAUUCGUGCAUGGAAUAAUGGAAUAGGAACUCGUUUCUAUUUUGUUGGUUUUCGGAAAUCGAGUUAAUGAUUAACAGGGACAGUCAGGGGCACUCGUAUUCCGCCGAGAGAGGUGAAAUUCUCAGAUCAGCGGAAGACGAACCACUGCGAAAGCAUUUGCCAGGGAUGUUUUCAUUA